Astyanax mexicanus (Mexican tetra) is the source of this 520-nucleotide long non-coding RNA. RefSeq lists it as uncharacterized. NCBI's taxonomy places the organism in Eukaryota, Metazoa, Chordata, Actinopteri, Characiformes, Acestrorhamphidae. The transcript is spliced from 4 exons. The record is from RefSeq and is a predicted model, not a curated record.
UACAAGCUAGCAGUAUUGCUAAACCUCCCUUCCAGUAGGUGGAGUACUGAGAAUUUAAACUUAGUUCACUUGGUUAACUGUUUGUACUACAACACUGGCUGUUAAGCAUGGAGCGAGAUGGAAAGACCAAAAAGACUUCUUCCUCAAAAAUAUGUGGACAAUGAAGAGACAGGUGUGACCAAGGAUGAAGCAUCAAGACAAGAAAGAAGCAGGUCAAGCAGCCAAGUUGAGGUGGCAAAGCUAAAGGUGGAAAUCAAAUUCCUACAUGAUGAAUGCACAGUUUUGAAGGAACAUGUGGACAAAUUAACAUCUGUUCCUGACAUGGCUGCAGGUCCUUCAGCAGGAUGGAGAGGGGCAGAAGAUUCCGCAUCCUGCUUUCUGAUAGACGAAAAAAAGGAAAAGCACAAGAAGAAGAAGAUCAAGAAGAACAAAAAAUAUAACAUUUUACCUAAAAGAAACAUAUAAUCAAUGAUGAUUGUAAAUAAAUAAAUAAAUAAGUUUAAUGUUAUGUAUUGUUGUA